RNAcentral lists this ribosomal RNA (538 nucleotides) under Pseudomonas sp. PBWS13. RNAcentral's name for it is "bacterial SSU rRNA". It matches the Rfam family "Bacterial small subunit ribosomal RNA", at positions 74 to 623 of the family's 1533-position model. Lineage: Bacteria; Pseudomonadati; Pseudomonadota; Gammaproteobacteria; Pseudomonadales; Pseudomonadaceae. The record is from RNAcentral.
AGGAGCUUGCUCUCUGAUUCAGCGGCGGACGGGUGAGUAAUGCCUAGGAAUCUGCCUGGUAGUGGGGGACAACGUUUCGAAAGGAACGCUAAUACCGCAUACGUCCUACGGGAGAAAGCAGGGGACCUUCGGGCCUUGCGCUAUCAGAUGAGCCUAGGUCGGAUUAGCUAGUUGGUGAGGUAAUGGCUCACCAAGGCGACGAUCCGUAACUGGUCUGAGAGGAUGAUCAGUCACACUGGAACUGAGACACGGUCCAGACUCCUACGGGAGGCAGCAGUGGGGAAUAUUGGACAAUGGGCGAAAGCCUGAUCCAGCCAUGCCGCGUGUGUGAAGAAGGUCUUCGGAUUGUAAAGCACUUUAAGUUGGGAGGAAGGGUUGUAGAUUAAUACUCUGCAAUUUUGACGUUACCGACAGAAUAAGCACCGGCUAACUCUGUGCCAGCAGCCGCGGUAAUACAGAGGGUGCAGCGUUAAUCGAAUUACUGGCGUAANCCGCGUAGNGGUUGUUANUUGAUGUGAAACCCGGGUCACUGGGACUG